Molecule: ribosomal RNA, 1328 nt
Filed under: Paenarthrobacter sp.
Lineage: Bacteria; Bacillati; Actinomycetota; Actinomycetes; Micrococcales; Micrococcaceae
Description: bacterial SSU rRNA
Rfam family: Bacterial small subunit ribosomal RNA
Source: RNAcentral
GGGGGAUUAGUGGCGAACGGGUGAGUAACACGUGAGUAACCUGCCCUUGACUCUGGGAUAAGCCUGGGAAACUGGGUCUAAUACCGGAUACGACCAUCUGGCGCAUGUCAUGGUGGUGGAAAGCUUUUGUGGUUUUGGAUGGACUCGCGGCCUAUCAGCUUGUUGGUGGGGUAAUGGCCUACCAAGGCGACGACGGGUAGCCGGCCUGAGAGGGUGACCGGCCACACUGGGACUGAGACACGGCCCAGACUCCUACGGGAGGCAGCAGUGGGGAAUAUUGCACAAUGGGCGCAAGCCUGAUGCAGCGACGCCGCGUGAGGGAUGACGGCCUUCGGGUUGUAAACCUCUUUCAGUAGGGAAGAAGCGAAAGUGACGGUACCUGCAGAAGAAGCGCCGGCUAACUACGUGCCAGCAGCCGCGGUAAUACGUAGGGCGCAAGCGUUAUCCGGAAUUAUUGGGCGUAAAGAGCUCGUAGGCGGUUUGUCGCGUCUGCUGUGAAAGACCGGGGCUCAACUCCGGUUCUGCAGUGGGUACGGGCAGACUAGAGUGCAGUAGGGGAGACUGGAAUUCCUGGUGUAGCGGUGAAAUGCGCAGAUAUCAGGAGGAACACCGAUGGCGAAGGCAGGUCUCUGGGCUGUAACUGACGCUGAGGAGCGAAAGCAUGGGGAGCGAACAGGAUUAGAUACCCUGGUAGUCCAUGCCGUAAACGUUGGGCACUAGGUGUGGGGGACAUUCCACGUUUUCCGCGCCGUAGCUAACGCAUUAAGUGCCCCGCCUGGGGAGUACGGCCGCAAGGCUAAAACUCAAAGGAAUUGACGGGGGCCCGCACAAGCGGCGGAGCAUGCGGAUUAAUUCGAUGCAACGCGAAGAACCUUACCAAGGCUUGACAUGAACCGGAAAGACCUGGAAACAGGUGCCCCGCUUGCGGUCGGUUUACAGGUGGUGCAUGGUUGUCGUCAGCUCGUGUCGUGAGAUGUUGGGUUAAGUCCCGCAACGAGCGCAACCCUCGUUCUAUGUUGCCAGCGCGUUAUGGCGGGGACUCAUAGGAGACUGCCGGGGUCAACUCGGAGGAAGGUGGGGACGACGUCAAAUCAUCAUGCCCCUUAUGUCUUGGGCUUCACGCAUGCUACAAUGGCCGGUACAAAGGGUUGCGAUACUGUGAGGUGGAGCUAAUCCCAAAAAGCCGGUCUCAGUUCGGAUUGGGGUCUGCAACUCGACCCCAUGAAGUCGGAGUCGCUAGUAAUCGCAGAUCAGCAACGCUGCGGUGAAUACGUUCCCGGGCCUUGUACACACCGCCCGUCAAGUCACGAAAGUUGGUAACACCCGAA